UUAAACCAAUCUUCUCCUCCUCAUCCCUCACUUGUGGUUAGCCAAUUUGGACCUUGUCUUAGCUUCGUUGUAGAGAACCACUCCCAUGACCGUGACGGCGAAGCUGGUGACUCCCAUCGCCGUCACCGGAUUCCGGAAAAUCAUCACUGACACUCCGGCCGCCACCGCCGCCUUUCCGUUGCCGAGCACCUGCAAUGUCAGAGCGCUCGUGUGCUUCGUCACUAAGAAAUUCACCAGAUACGCAGCUGCGGCGUUUCUGAGUGAAGCUUGUCAGAUUCAGAUGUUAGGGAGAUCCCCUGAACCACCGAUUUCAGAGGCCUCCUAGUCGUGGAUCCGAGACAUACGAGGAAUCCGAAGAGGUGGAAUACCAUUUCCUGUUUUGCAUCGAUUAGGAUGCUUUAAGAACGUUCUUACUUGAUCGUUCAAGAAUUCCAGGCUCUCUUAAGUGACUGCAAAGACGUAUUGGAUGAGACAACCACAAUGAAAGAAUUGGUAUACUUUGCUAAUCUCAAGGAGCAGUUUGAAAUUGUUGUUGAUCAUUAUAUUCAGCAAUGGGAAGCAAAGAAAACAUUGGAGGUUCUCCAAAAGUCUCCAGUUCCUGUCGAACUUCAGACCGAGCGUAUACUCGAUUUACAGAAGUAACUGACAUUGCUUGGUAGUGAAACACGGAGGGAUGCAAACAGUAGUCUCCCUGAUGAAACCAUGACUGGUACAACUACUGCAGAGAAGGUAAGGAGAUUCAUUUUCAAGGCAACCAAGUUCUUCAUUUAGUUUCUUCGUUUUAUCCUUUUCUCUUGAGCAUUUUUUUCUUGGAUAAUUUGGCUUGACAUGCCGUCUUUUAUCACGAGGCAACUCCGGUCAAAGCUGGACGACAUGGUAGCCAGUGAAUGUCCAUUCUACGGAGAAUUUAUGAUCAAUGAGAUCAGUCGGCCUUUUAUUAAACCCGAGGAAGCACAACAUGCUGCUUCAUGGGACAUCCAGCCGAAAAAGGACAUAGCGUUUCAGAGGACCAUUCCGUUGCCUGUUUGAUUGUCAGCGUCCAUUGCAGGUUCAUUUGAUAUACUAUCAGCGUGUUUCCUGUUUUGCUCAUGUUGUUUGUAAACUCGUUUUUGUGUGAUUUCUUCUUAGACUGAGGCUGGCAUAGGGGUGUGGAUAUUGAUCUUUGGGUGCUCUGUUAUGGAUGUAAUAUGCGUGCAUGAUUCUCGAUAGAGAACGAUCUCAGAAUUUAUCGAUUCUCUUUGUGUCGGA
Molecule: long non-coding RNA, 1248 nt
Organism: Tarenaya hassleriana
Lineage: Eukaryota; Viridiplantae; Streptophyta; Magnoliopsida; Brassicales; Cleomaceae
Exons: 4
Source: RefSeq, a predicted model, not a curated record